CAGGCUCUGCCGUGGGGGCGAGAUACUCUCGGUAGCUUGCCGGGCUCUCCGAGACGGACAGAGGAAGCUCUAACCACAUAAAUAUUCAAAGUCUAAAACCUUGGGCUCAUCAGACUGAGUAGAAAUUUAAUUCUUCCAAGCAAGUAUUGCUGUUCCUUGUCAUGGCCGCCCACGCGCUCGCUGAGUGGACACGUGGUCAGCCCAGGAAGAGGAUGUUACUGAACUGCGUGGCGCACAGCUUCUUGACCUCCUCACUUACUUCAAUCAGGUUUGCAUUAUUUUCCCCCAACAACCCAAUAACCACUCAUUGCCUUCAAGAUGAUUUCUAAAGAAAUAAAACCAAAGAAUUAGAGGCAGGAUGUCUAGCAUUAGAGCAUACACUCAAACGUUUACAUUCUUUUUCAAGCAGGCAUUAUUAGUAGGUAUUUGAUGCUCUGUGGGCAAAUACCUCUUGACUUGUAUCCUUUUACCAUCUUUUUAGUAUAUUUCUCUGAUAGUUUUCACUUCACCUCCAAAGAGCUCCUCAGCCCUUUCCCUCCUGUAUCCAGGGACUUUCUUCACAGCUACUCAGACGUUUUUUCCCUUCGGCCAUGGACUUUCUAUCUCUGUGAUGUUUUCCUACCUCAUUCUUUUCCAAAACUCAAAUGUCAGGUGAACAAGGGUCACAGUGUGACCUCCAGGUUCAGAGUCUCCACCACAGGAGACCCUCAUCUGGCUUAGGACAGGUUUAACCUUCCCAGCUGGCUCACAGCCUUUGCUGGUCAGUUCCAGCCUCACCAGAGCUUCCAUCUUCAAUUUCGGAGAGUCUCAGCUCUGCUUUGCUUCCAGGCGGGUUUUCAGUACCAGAUCCCGGGCCCCGAGACUCUUGGACAGGCUCAAGCACAAGGACACCUUCGUCUGCCUCUAGAACAGGCUUCCGGACAAACAACCCUACUUUCCUGGCUUGCAGGUCUCCAGGCUGUUCCGUGUCACAGGAGGAAGCUGAGCGUACCCAAGGUCCUUCCACGGAACUCAGCCUUCAGUGGGGGAAUGGCAGAGCCAUCCCUGCGUCCUGGACUGAUGCUCACGACUCUUCACAGGGUCUUGAAAGAAGCCAUCUUCGGCCAAGUUCCUUCCUGCUGAACCCUGGAAGCACUCCCCCCACCCCCCACCUGCCCACAGUGCUGCCAUUAUGCCUCUCCACCAGACUCUACAGCCUCCUGCUGAGUUUUGCAGAGACGCCGAACUGCUGACAAUUUCAGAUUUUCGUUCCCAGACUGUGAUCCCGGGAAUGGCUGCCUGUUUCUGAACCCUUCCCAACCCUCCUGAGUUCAGCCUGUCAAAACUCUCUCCUUGUACCUGGUCCCAGUCUCCAUGUGACUGGUCACCUCUUGAGCAGAAGUGCAUUAAAGUGAUAUGCGACCACAUCAGAGUCACCUAAACAACUGAUUCUGGGAGACUCAAAUGUGAGCUUGUCUACUCCAUCAACCACGAGGAACCCAGAGACGUGAGCGCUGAACGACUCAAUGGUGUACUUAAAAACAUACACCCCAAGCCGAUGGAGACGGGGUGCCAAGAGGAGCAAGCAGGGGAGCAGAGCCUGCCACGGCCUGUCUGUCCUCUGUCUCUGUCAGUCACCUGCUACUAUCUGCCAUCUUCACCCCAGCCCCGGAAGCCUAUAGACGUCAUUAAUACCAGCUCAGACCUGAAGAAGCUCUUCGCUUGCGUCAGACACCUUCCUGGGUGAGCUGGGAGACGGGUUUCCCACUGCGGGUCCAAGGGGAUAUCAGCAGAAUGUAAAGGGUUACUGAGAUUUAGCACGUACAUCAAAGAAGAAACCUGGGUGCUUCCCGAGGACUUGAGGUGCUUUCUUUUGAUUUUCUUAAACUAGAAAAUCAUAAUUAUACUGAUUAACAUGUUUCUAAGAAGUAAUGUUCUAGCUCAAAAUAGAGAGCAUCAGUCCCUCCUCGAAAUAAAUAUAAGAAAUUGCUUUUCUCCUUUUAGAAUGUUAUGACUUUUGAUCAUACCAGAUUUUUAAAAAUAAUCCUUCCUCUCCCCUUUGGUUUGGACCACAUCAUAUGAUCUUUUUUAUAUGUAGAAUCUGACCAAGACUGACUGAAUAUUCUAAAAUACAUCUGCUGACAAGUCUUGCUUUACUCUCUCUAAUGUAAUAUGAUUUGAGCUGAAAUAUCAUUAGAGCAAACCACAAAUUUCCUUGAUCUAUUUCAGAACAUUUUAGAGACAUCUACUGGAAAAGCAAAUUAUUGCAAAUUUUAUAAAACAUAUCAGAAGUAUGUUGCGACUGGCAUUUCUAAACAUGUCUCAAAUUUCAUAUCACAAAUGAGUUACCUUCUAAAAGCAAAAUGCUGUGACCUUAAAAAAUUAGAAUCACCUGUAAAAAUUUAUCUAUUUAUCUAAAAAUUAUCUAUGUAUAUAAAAAUAAAGCUAUUUAUUUGUCAUUGGA
Molecule: long non-coding RNA, 2443 nt
Organism: Sorex araneus (European shrew)
Lineage: Eukaryota; Metazoa; Chordata; Mammalia; Eulipotyphla; Soricidae
Exons: 4
Source: RefSeq, a predicted model, not a curated record